AACGAACGCUGGCGGCAUGCCUAACACAUGCAAGUCGAACGAGACCUUCGGGUCUAGUGGCGCACGGGUGCGUAACGCGUGGGAACCUGCACUUAGGUUCGGAAUAACUCCCCGAAAGGGGUGCUAAUACCGGUUAAUGUCUUCGGACCAAAGAUUUAUCGCCUUUGGAUGGGCCCGCGUUGGAUUAGCUAGUUGGUAGGGUAAAAGCCUACCAAGGCGACGAUCCAUAGCUGGUCUGAGAGGAUGAUCAGCCACACUGGGACUGAGACACGGCCCAGACUCCUACGGGAGGCAGCAGUGGGGAAUAUUGGACAAUGGGCGAAAGCCUGAUCCAGCAAUGCCGCGUGAGUGAUGAAGGCCUUAGGGUUGUAAAGCUCUUUUACCCGGGAUGAUAAUGACAGUACCGGGAGAAUAAGCUCCGGCUAACUCCGUG
RNAcentral lists this ribosomal RNA (433 nucleotides) under uncultured bacterium. RNAcentral's name for it is "partial 16S ribosomal RNA". It matches the Rfam family "Bacterial small subunit ribosomal RNA", at positions 29 to 507 of the family's 1533-position model. The record is from RNAcentral.